AUACAGCUUAUUCUCUAUUAGGAGUCCUACCAAAUGGCCGAUGAAGAAGGUUCUUCGAUUCUGGAUGACUCUCCGAUCGAGCAAGUUCGGUUGACAGUCCCACCAACAGAUGAUAACACAUUGCAGGUCUUGACAUUCCGAACAUGGCUUAUCGGAAUCCCCAUUUGCAUCCUCGAGUCCGUAAGUGCAGCAUUAUCCUUUUACCGACAGCAAAUGUUCUAUUUUUCACAUGUCUGCAUCAACAUGAUGGUGUUCAUUGCUGGGAAACUAAUGGCUAACAUGCUACCGAACAAAGUGAUAAGAAUGCCAUACACAAACUGGAGUUUCUCGUUGAAUCCGGGACCCUUCAACUUGAAAGAACAUGUGGUGACCUCCAUGUUGGCCGGCACGGCAAGUGCUUCUGCCGGCUUUGAAAUAUUAACCAUAUCCAAGAUCUUCUACCACAAGGAUAUCCCGUUACUGCCGGCCAUGCUGCUGGUGCUAUCGAUUCAGGUGAUUUCUUUUGUUAUCAUGAAAUCGGUGUAAAAAAAAUCAUUAGUUAUUCUUUAAAAGAGGUAAUAAUAUGGUGCUGAAUUCUUCGAUUGUUUUA
Musa acuminata AAA Group (dessert banana) is the source of this 589-nucleotide long non-coding RNA. RefSeq lists it as uncharacterized. The transcript has 2 exons. NCBI's taxonomy places the organism in Eukaryota, Viridiplantae, Streptophyta, Magnoliopsida, Zingiberales, Musaceae. The record is from RefSeq and is a predicted model, not a curated record.